This 497-nucleotide ribosomal RNA is filed under the name uncultured bacterium. Its description in RNAcentral is "partial 16S ribosomal RNA". It matches the Rfam family "Bacterial small subunit ribosomal RNA", at positions 28 to 507 of the family's 1533-position model. The record is from RNAcentral.
GAUGAACGCUGGCGGCGUGCCUAAUACAUGCAAGUCGAGCGAACGGACGCGAAGCUUGCUUCUCUGAUGUUAGCGGAGGACGGGUGAGUAACACGUGGAUAACCUACCUAUAAGACUGGGAUAACUUCGGGAAACCGGAGCUAAUACCGGAUAAUAUUUUGAACCGCAUGGUUCAAAAGUGAAAGACGGUCUUGCUGUCACUUAUAGAUGGAUCCGCGCUGCAUUAGCUAGUUGGUAAGGUAACGGCUUACCAAGGCAACGAUGCAUAGCCGACCUGAGAGGGGGAUCGGCCACACGGGAACGGAGACACGGUCCAGACUCCUACGGGAGGCAGCAGUAUGGAAUCUUCCGCAAUGGGCGAAAGCCUGACGGAGCAACGCCGCGUGAGUUAUGAAGGUCUUCGGAGCGUAAAACUCUGUUAUUAGGGAAGAACAUAUGUGUAAGGAACUGUGCACAGCGUGACGGUACCUAAUCAGAAAGCCACGGCUAACUACGUG